This is a non-coding RNA of Saimiri boliviensis boliviensis (Bolivian squirrel monkey), 291 nucleotides long. The record is from RefSeq and is a predicted model, not a curated record. Lineage: Eukaryota; Metazoa; Chordata; Mammalia; Primates; Cebidae.
CUUUCUGGGUCUCAUCUUGGACAAGGAUCCAGCUGUGCUUCUCACCAUCCCGACUCCCAUGUGCUGCUGAUUCUGGAGAAGACCCAGGAGUUGAACAGCUAUUUGAAUCUACCCAGAUUAUAAUCUGAAGCUACCCUGAAUCCCCUCCAGUAGACGACAGAUGACUUUGAUCACGACACCAACACUUACCUGGGUAAGAACCCAGGGGAUUUACAAAGAUUUUUGGCUUGCCAGAGCCCUUCAACUGGAAGCAUCAUUUUCAGAUUCAAGGUUCAUAAAUGGAAGGGACUU